RNAcentral lists this long non-coding RNA (466 nucleotides) under Microcebus murinus (gray mouse lemur). RNAcentral's name for it is "lncRNA (ENSMICG00000048557.1)". Lineage: Eukaryota; Metazoa; Chordata; Mammalia; Primates; Cheirogaleidae. The record is from RNAcentral.
CUCCACUCGCAGGGACGGACCGUCUUGGCCUACAGUAACAAGCUGCUCCUGCCUAGGGUGACUCCGUCGUUUUGGCCUUGCUGGUGAUUUUUCCAAGAAAGGAGUCAGAGGACGGGAUCCUAGUCUGCACUCUACGCUCGGGUGUGUCUGGUCAUUCUGCGGCCAAGAGCACACGAGAGCUGCGGGCAGACUCCCGCCCCGACACCCGUGGUGCCGAAAGCAGGGUUCUGACGCCAGGAGGAAGAGGAGACCCGGCACCUGUACCGCAGCACCAGGCCACACCGACCCAAGGCCACCUAGGACUGACCUGCCGAGCAGAGGUGCCAGAGCAUCGGCAGUGAGUACCUGGGCCUGUUCAAGCCCCCGCAGGGACAUAGGACACGAGGGCCUGCGGCCAUGUGCCCACCACCUCACUGGGUGUAUCUUACACUGGGACUUCUUUCUGAUCAUGUCCUUGAGCUCUGUC